GACGAACGCUGGCGGCGUGCUUAACACAUGCAAGUCGAACGGAAAGGCCCUGCUUUCGUGUGGUGCCCGAGUGGCGAACGGGUGAGUAACACGUGAGUAACCUGCCCUUGACUUUGGGAUAACUUCAGGAAACUGGGGCUAAUACCGGAUAGGAGCUCCUGCUGCAUGGUGGGGGUUGGAAAGUUUCGGCGGUUGGGGAUGGACUCGCGGCUUAUCAGCUUGUUGGUGGAGUAGUGGCUUACCAAGGCUUUGACGGGUAGCCGGCCUGAGAGGGUGACCGGCCACAUUGGGACUGAGAUACGGCCCAGACUCCUACGGGAGGCAGCAGUGGGGAAUAUUGCACAAUGGGCGGAAGCCUGAUGCAGAAGCGCCGCGUGCGGGAUGACGGCCUUCGGGUUGUAAACCGCUUUCGCCUGUGACGAAGCGUGAGUGACGGUAAUGGGUAAAGAAGCACCGGCUAACUACGUG
RNAcentral lists this ribosomal RNA (468 nucleotides) under uncultured bacterium. RNAcentral's name for it is "partial 16S ribosomal RNA". It matches the Rfam family "Bacterial small subunit ribosomal RNA", at positions 28 to 507 of the family's 1533-position model. The record is from RNAcentral.